AGUGACAAUGAGAAAAGAAUAUUGGUACAGGAACUGAUUAUACAAAUUUCAUUUGAUGCCCACAUUCAAAUUCUCAUCUUUUUAGCUACCUUAGGCCUAAGAUGACCAGAACACAGUUUUUCUUUACAUGGAUUUUAAUACUAGUAGCAUUUCAACAGCAUCAUGCUGUUAGCUCCGAUGUUCAAGUGAGAUCAGGUAAAUCACAACCACCUCCAUGGGGUUUGGGUAGGGGGGCUCUUUCACAAUUCCCACAAAUUUUUUUAUGUUCAAGAAUGCAAGUUUCUCACUUGAGCCUACCUGGCCAUCUUCUGAAUCUUUAUUACAGUUGGUUUCAAGAUCAGCCCUGCAGAGUACAG
RNAcentral lists this long non-coding RNA (356 nucleotides) under Olea europaea (common olive). RNAcentral's name for it is "long non-coding RNA (OEUR_LNC001419)". The record is from RNAcentral. Lineage: Eukaryota; Viridiplantae; Streptophyta; Magnoliopsida; Lamiales; Oleaceae.